Molecule: transfer RNA, 88 nt
Filed under: Bacteroidales bacterium WCE2008
Lineage: Bacteria; Pseudomonadati; Bacteroidota; Bacteroidia; Bacteroidales
Description: tRNA_Leu_CAA
Rfam family: tRNA
About the family: Transfer RNA (tRNA) molecules are approximately 80 nucleotides in length.
Source: RNAcentral
GCCCGAGUGGCGGAAUUGGUAGACGCGCUGGACUCAAAAUCCAGUGUCCUUUAAAGACGUACCGGUUCGAUCCCGGUCCCGGGCACGA